This 387-nucleotide ribosomal RNA is filed under the name Vibrio sp. HUBAS8. RNAcentral describes it as "bacterial SSU rRNA". It matches the Rfam family "Bacterial small subunit ribosomal RNA", at positions 64 to 451 of the family's 1533-position model. Lineage: Bacteria; Pseudomonadati; Pseudomonadota; Gammaproteobacteria; Vibrionales; Vibrionaceae. The record is from RNAcentral.
ACAUUGAACCUUCGGGGGAUUUGUUGGGCGGCGAGCGGCGGACGGGUGAGUAAUGCCUGGGAAAUUGCCCUGAUGUGGGGGAUAACCAUUGGAAACGAUGGCUAAUACCGCAUGAUAGCUUCGGCUCAAAGAGGGGGACCUUCGGGCCUCUCGCGUCAGGAUAUGCCCAGGUGGGAUUAGCUAGUUGGUGAGGUAAGGGCUCACCAAGGCGACGAUCCCUAGCUGGUCUGAGAGGAUGAUCAGCCACACUGGAACUGAGACACGGUCCAGACUCCUACGGGAGGCAGCAGUGGGGAAUAUUGCACAAUGGGCGCAAGCCUGAUGCAGCCAUGCCGCGUGUAUGAAGAAGGCCUUCGGGUUGUAAAGUACUUUCAGCAGUGAGGAAGG